CUGGCUCAGGAUGAACGCUAGCUACAGGCUUAACACAUGCAAGUCGAGGGGCAGCAUUGGGAUAGCUUGCUAUUCAGAUGGCGACCGGCGCACGGGUGAGUAACGCGUAUCCAACCUUCCUGCCAGUAGGGAACAGCCCGGCGAAAGUCGGAUUAAUGCCCUAUGUUCUUCAAUGCGGACAUCUAAGUUGAAGGAAAGAUUCAUCGCUGGCAGAUGGGGAUGCGUCCGAUUAGCUUGCCGGCGGGGUAACGGCCACCGGGGCGACGAUCGGUAGGGGUUCUGAGAGGAAGGUCCCCCACACUGGUACUGAGACACGGACCAGACUCCUACGGGAGGCAGCAGUGAGGAAUAUUGGUCAAUGGGCGUAAGCCUGAACCAGCCAAGUAGCGUGCAAGGACGACGGCCCUACGGGUUGUAAACUGCUUUUAUGCGGGGAUAAAGUGCGGCACGUGUGCCGCUUUGCAGGUACCGCAUGAAUAAGGACCGGCUAAUUCCGUGCCAGCCGCAGC
This 509-nucleotide ribosomal RNA is filed under the name uncultured bacterium. RNAcentral's name for it is "bacterial SSU rRNA". It matches the Rfam family "Bacterial small subunit ribosomal RNA", at positions 19 to 518 of the family's 1533-position model. The record is from RNAcentral.